AUUGAACGCUGGCGGCAUGCUUUACACAUGCAAGUCGAACGGCAGCGCGGUCUUCUUCCUGGCGGCUCGUGUCGCACAGGUGAGUAAUACAUCUGAACAUGCCCCGUAGUGCUUGGUAACCCCUCGAAAGCCGUAUUACUACCACCUACUACCUGCUGGUGCUACCUGGUGGCCGAAGGACCUCUCGGUCUUUUGGGGACCGAUGUCGGAUUUGCUAGUUUGUUGGGUAAAGACUUACCUAGCCGACCAUCCGUAGCUGGUCUGAGAGGACGACCAGCCACACUGGGACUGAGACACGGCCAAGACGACUAAGGGAGGCAGCAGUGGGGAAUGUUGGACAAAGGGGGCAACUCUGAUCCAGCCAGGCCGCGUGCGGGAAGAAGGCCUUCGGGUUGUAAACAGCUUUUGUGCGGGAAGAAAUGCUCUGGGCUAAUACCACGGGGGGAUGACGGUAACGGAAGAAGAAGCACCGGCUAACUACGUG
RNAcentral lists this ribosomal RNA (484 nucleotides) under uncultured bacterium. RNAcentral describes it as "partial 16S ribosomal RNA". It matches the Rfam family "Bacterial small subunit ribosomal RNA", at positions 30 to 507 of the family's 1533-position model. The record is from RNAcentral.